This 1596-nucleotide long non-coding RNA is filed under the name Gouania willdenowi (blunt-snouted clingfish). Its description in RNAcentral is "lncRNA (ENSGWIG00000006517.1)". Lineage: Eukaryota; Metazoa; Chordata; Actinopteri; Blenniiformes; Gobiesocidae. The record is from RNAcentral.
GAUUUUGUUGCCUCAUUUAUCUAAUCUGCAAUGAUGUGUGCUUUUUUUCAAUCUCUUUCCUUCAAACAUCAGGUCCCUCCUUGUUAUCAGCGAUGAGCUACCUCUUAGUCCAAGACAUGAGCAGGCCAAACGUCUUCUAGAGCGCGCACGACUCAAGGCCCGCUCCAUUAACGCUGAUUGUCCGGGCAGACGCUCCCAUUCUGAUCAGUUAUCCACCAUAAAGAAGCAAUCAACUCGAUCUCCCAGCCCACCAGCAUCGCUGAAAAUGGUUCAACCCAUAGAGGACCUCCCAGUUCAAGCAGCAUCUGCUCCAGUUAUUAUUCCUGCCCAAAGAGACACUUCCCCCACUGAUCAAGCUGGGCGAUAUAAACACUAUGGCUGUUCCCCCACACGUGUACGUUUUGAGGAUGAAUCAGAAAAGGAAGCAGAGUCUCGGUAUUUAGACAGAAUGAGACAACGUGGCAGGCCAGGGAUGCCUAAGUCUAAGAUGAAUGACAUGAGUACAGAUUCUAGCAGCAGUAGUUCAGAGAGGAGUCGAAGCCAUCGAAAUGUCUCCAUGUCACUGAGACAAGAAGAUCCAGCAGGUGCUCAUAGCGAAAUCAACACCGUAGUUAAAGAAAUUGUAGUGCUGGUAAAGAAAUGCGAGUCGUGUGGAUCAGUGGUGAGGGUUCCUCAGCCUGUCUCAUUAGCACCAGAACCCCAAAACACAGAACAACAGCUGUCGGGAAACCCAGAAGACCCACGUUUAAAAACAGCUGUUCGUGGUGCAAACCCUCACAAAUCAGAGGCAAGUACCCGCCCCAAGGCUCCUCUGACUGUCACUUUUGCUGGAGCUUUUGUUCUUGGAGAAAAUAAAGAAAGCAGCACAGGUUGGAAGCCAUCUGGGUUUGGCAAACUUAGGAGGAGAAGCAGGAAGGGGGAGAGUAGGUUAGAGUCUGGCCAUGGACCCUACGGCCCAUCAUGGGCCCAAAGACGUAACUCGAAUCCCAGAAAUCGAAUCAGCAUGAGCAGAGGUGUGUCGUUUGCUCCUGACAGUCCUGUGGCUCUGGAACCACGUUUGUUGGAGGCCUCCAGUGGACUAAAAGAUUCAUCAACUCCAUCUCUGCCUAUCAAGUCAGCCCUAAAGUCCAGCUCAAGAAAUCGCUCUGCUACCAGUCAGCCCACAGUCCAGUUCCAGAUGGACUCAAAUCAGGGAGAGGGUGGAUCCCCAUCUGACCUAGACCCCCAGGAGACAAAGAGAGAAUCCCCACUGACUUUAACCCAAGGAACACCAACAACAAGCAGUUUGGUGUCCUGUAUCAGGCCUUCCACGCUGAGGUACACCACAGCCAGACCAACCACAGACCUACCAACUGCUGAGAUAUGGGACACUGCUUCAGAUGGACUAGGUCUGACUGGAGACGUCACUACCGCUUCAGAGGGUCGUGCUCUGCGUGGUUUGGCCAUGUUUCGAGCUGAGGACCUGAGAGCAGAUCUGCUAAGAGCAGAACAUCUAAAAGCUGAGGUGACAUGGGAGAACACAGAGGGAUACAGGUAUGGCCGCCAAAAACAAAUAAAUAGAAACCCGGAUGUCCUAUAAUUUGGAGACAGAGCACA